Molecule: unclassified non-coding RNA, 1281 nt
Filed under: Hevea brasiliensis (rubber tree)
Lineage: Eukaryota; Viridiplantae; Streptophyta; Magnoliopsida; Malpighiales; Euphorbiaceae
Source: RNAcentral
UUAGCUUUAAUUCCCUUUUUGAAUUACUCUAUUUGAAGUUUUAUAACUCAAGUUAUGCCACUUUUUCUAAGGCUGGCCGGAUUAGUCACAAACCGAGAUAUUCUGGGCAAUUAGGGUUCUGGCAGAUUUGAGGAACCAACUUUGGUUGGCAAUUUGACUUGGUUACGAUCAGAAUUUGGGUUUGUAUUCUUCAUGAAAGUUGUUGUACCAUGUCUAAGCUUUCCAUUGCCAUAAAAAUUAGGUCAUUUGGACCUUUCUACACCAAGUUAUGACAGUACUGUUCAUAUGGUCAAUUCUGUAUAGUGGCAGUGUGUGAAAUCCAGAUUUAACCUAAUUUUACACCCACUUAUGGUUAGUUUUAGGGCAAGGUUUCUACAUGAAAAUUGUAGUUUUGGAUCUUAAUUUUCAUCUCCAAUUGAUCUCACAUCAAUUGGAGCAACAAAAUUGCAAUUAUGGCCAUUUAAGUGGACCAUGGUCUGGCUGUCCAGAUUGAGGAUUACACAUUCACCAUUUCAUUUCAAUUUCAUGCAUUUACUCACACUCCUAAUGACACCAAUUGACCUAACCAAUUUAAACCUCAAUUAGGUCAAUUGGCAGCAAUUUUAAAAACCCCCAAAAUUUUCCCCAAUUCUUCAAUUGUCAAGAACCCUAAUUUCUCACUUAACACAAUUCACUAAAUUAAAGUGUAUAUAAUUCAUUUACACUUUCAAUCAAGCUUGCCUAGACCAUUAAUGUCAUCAAAAUCAAUCAAAUCCCCUUUUUUCCUAACAUGGCCGAAAUUCAUGGGGCUUCCUAGGUGCAUGAAAUUUUUCAAUUUUGAACUAAUUUCUAAGUGUCUUACUUCAUUUCUUCAAUAUACAUAGCUUUAAAUUAGAGAGAGAAGAACUUACUUGAUAUGAAGCUUUCCGAACUUCUUGCUUCUUCAAUUUUUCCUCCAAUUCUUUCUUCUAAACUUCUUACCAAGACUCAAUUACUAGUUUUCCUCAAGAAAAGUAGGGAAUUUAGGGUUGAAAUUAGGGUUUAGAAAAGCGUAUCAUAAGCUUUCAUGGUGGAUUUGAGAGAAGAAGAAAGAGAUGAGAGAGAGGGACAUGGACGACAACAAUAGGGAAAGAAGACCACUUUUAGUUUUUAAGUUUUUAAUUUGUGAUUAUUUAUAUUUAUAUUUAUAUUUAUCCUAAAUUUUCAAAAUUUAAAGUUUUAAAUUUAUGAGGUCAUGCUUACCUCACUUGAGUGAUGUCAUAAGGCAUUUUAUAUUUGAAUUUCUUUUCUUUUUCUUUUUCU